UUUUACAUUAUUGACAUCAUUAUAAACUGCCCAGAGUUACCAUCGGUCAGAUGGGUGGUAUAGAAAUCAGAUAGAUAGAUAGAUAGAUAGAUAGAUAGAUAGAUAGAUAGAUAGAUAGAUAGAUAGAUAGAUAGAUAGAUAGAUAGAUAGAUAGAUGAUAGAUAGAUAGAUAGAUAGAUAGAUAGAUAGAUAGAUAGAUAGAUAGAUAGAUAGAUAGAUAGAUAGAUAGAUAGAUAGAUAGAUAGAUAGUCAAACUUUAUACAUGUCUCCACACAACUGAGUCCUAUUGAAUUCAAUGAAGUUUAUUCCGAGGUCAAUAGGAACUGUAGGGAUGGAGAGAUCUCUGUCCUAAAGAUGAAAUGGCCCAUCGAAGGAGGCCUGCACAUGGCCCUUAUCUCCAGUUCCCUGACUAAAGUUCAACCUUCCUCACAAGUUGCCACGAGCUCUUCCGUUGAUACUAUCACAAUUUUAAAGAAGCCUCUGGGUUUUCAGGUUCCAGGGCACUGACUGGUGCCUCCAACAAUUGCUAGGCUUCUCUGGGUUUCCAGAAGAUGGUUGGGGGAUAAAUCUCAGUGGCAUUCUGGGAGUUUGAGUUCUCCCUCUUGGGCAUCCAUCCCCUGUUCACUCCCAACCAGUGCCAGGACUCACUCACUGUAAGUGUAAGAAUGUUGCAUGUAUAAUACAGUAUUUGUUUCGAAGAAAGUGCAGGAAAUCCUCUUUGUCUGCCUCUCUCAUUCACACUGACACAUACUGUAAUCUUUUCCAGGAGCCUGUCACAAGGGGCAGUCUCCUGUGACAUUACAGGGCAUAGGAAUGUGUCUGCAAGUCUGUGCUGUGACAGACAAUGGCGUCUGGGCAUAGAUGGUAGGAGCCACAUGCCAGGCUCCACCCACUUUGACAUAUGGGGCCCCACCCAGAUUUUAGAAACGUUUUGUUUUCCGCCCACAUCAAUGCUGGCAGGAAAUUCUGGAAUAUAUAAACCAAAACACAAAAACCAAAAACAGACCACAUCUCAAUCCAUUUCCCAAGAAUCUUUCAUCACUGACGCAAGUAGAAGCCCUAGUGCCUGCAUGGAGCUCCCUCCAAACAUCAAAGAUGUUAUGGAGAGAACUACGUGA
This 1118-nucleotide long non-coding RNA is filed under the name Pogona vitticeps (central bearded dragon). RNAcentral's name for it is "lncRNA (ENSPVIG00000025341.1)". Lineage: Eukaryota; Metazoa; Chordata; Lepidosauria; Squamata; Agamidae. The record is from RNAcentral.